CGUUAGGAUGAACGCUAGCGACAGGCCUAACACAUGCAAGUCGAGGGCAGCACAAGGAGCAAUCUGAGGUGGCGACCGGUGCACGGGUGAGUAACACGUAUGCAACCUGCCUGUAAGCGGGGAAUAACCCGUUGAAAGACGGACUAAUACCGCAUAAUACUAAAUUACUGCAUGGUAAUUUAUUUAAACAUUUAUGGCUUACAGAUGGGCAUGCGCAUGAUUAGCUAGUUGGAGAGGUAACGGCUCCCCAAGGCAACGAUCAUUAGGGGUUCUGAGAGGAAGGUCCCCCACACUGGUACUGAGACACGGACCAGACUCCUACGGGAGGCAGCAGUGAGGAAUAUUGGUCAAUGGACGAGAGUCUGAACCAGCCAAGUCGCGUGCAGGAAGAAUGUCCUAUGGAUUGUAAACUGCUUUUGCAGGGGAAUAAAGUGCAUCACGUGUGAUGUUUUGUAUGUACUCUGCGAAUAAGGAUCGGCUAACUCCGUGCCAGCAGCUGC
Molecule: ribosomal RNA, 500 nt
Filed under: uncultured bacterium
Lineage: Bacteria
Description: bacterial SSU rRNA
Rfam family: Bacterial small subunit ribosomal RNA
Source: RNAcentral